GACGAACGCUGGCGGCGCGCCUAACACAUGCAAGUCGAACGAGCGAGAGAGAGCUUGCUUUCUCGAGCGAGUGGCGAACGGGUGAGUAACGCGUGAGGAACCUGCCUCAAAGAGGGGGACAACAGUUGGAAACGACUGCUAAUACCGCAUAAGCCCACGGCUCGGCAUCGAGCAGAGGGAAAAGGAGCAAUCCGCUUUGAGAUGGUCUCGCGUCCGAUUAGCUAGUUGGUGAGGUAAUGGCCCACCAAGGCGACGAUCGGUAGCCGGACUGAGAGGUUGAACGGCCACAUUGGGACUGAGACACGGCCCAGACUCCUACGGGAGGCAGCAGUGGGGAAUAUUGCACAAUGGGGGAAACCCUGAUGCAGCGACGCCGCGUGGAGGAAGAAGGUCUUCGGAUUGUAAACUCCUGUUGUUGAGGAAGAUAAUGACGGUACUCAACAAGAAAGUGACGGCUAACUACGUGCCAGCAGCCGCGGUAAAACGUAGGUCACAAGCGUUGUCCGGAAUUACUGGGUGUAAAGGGAGCGCAGGCGGGAAGACAAGUUGGAAGUGAAAUCCAUGGGCUCAACCCAUGAACUGCUUUCAAAACUGUUUUUCUUGAGUAGUGCAGAGGUAGGCGGAAUUCCCGGUGUAGCGGUGGAAUGCGUAGAUAUCGGGAGGAACACCAGUGGCGAAGGCGGCCUACUGGGCACCAACUGACGCUGAGGCUCGAAAGUGUGGGUAGCAAACAGGAUUAGAUACCCUGGUAGUCCACACUGUAAACGAUGAUUACUAGGUGUUGGAGGAUUGACCCCUUCAGUGCCGCAGUUAACACAAUAAGUAAUCCACCUGGGGAGUACGACCGCAAGGUUGAAACUCAAAGGAAUUGACGGGGGCCCGCACAAGCAGUGGAGUAUGUGGUUUAAUUCGACGCAACGCGAAGAACCUUACCAAGUCUUGACAUCCCUUGACGAUGCUGGAAACAGUAUUUCUCUUCGGAGCAAGGAGACAGGUGGUGCAUGGUUGUCGUCAGCUCGUGUCGUGAGAUGUUGGGUUAAGUCCCGCAACGAGCGCAACCCUUAUGGUCAGUUACUACGCAAGAGGACUCUGGCCAGACUGCCGUUGACAAAACGGAGGAAGGUGGGGAUGACGUCAAAUCAUCAUGCCCUUUAUGACUUGGGCUACACACGUACUACAAUGGCGUUAAACAAAGAGAAGCAAGACCGCGAGGUGGAGCAAAACUCAGAAACAACGUCCCAGUUCGGACUGCAGGCUGCAACUCGCCUGCACGAAGUCGGAAUUGCUAGUAAUCGCAGAUCAGCAUGCUGCGGUGAAUACGUUCCCGGGCCU
This 1332-nucleotide ribosomal RNA is filed under the name uncultured bacterium. RNAcentral's name for it is "bacterial SSU rRNA". It matches the Rfam family "Bacterial small subunit ribosomal RNA", at positions 28 to 1381 of the family's 1533-position model. The record is from RNAcentral.